Molecule: non-coding RNA, 3269 nt
Organism: Podarcis lilfordi (Lilford's wall lizard)
Lineage: Eukaryota; Metazoa; Chordata; Lepidosauria; Squamata; Lacertidae
Source: the annotation of a GenBank genome assembly
GACAACAUGGCGUACUCACGGAGAAACCCAUUUGCCGUGUGAAGGAGGGCUAUAAAACGCCACUCGUCUGGUCGCCUGUGGUCAGUUAAGGAUUUCCUCCAGGCGACCAGGUUACGAAAGCUGCUUCUUUCCUGUUUUCGAUCGCGACUAACAUAGGUAUGAGUGAUCGGAUGGGAAUUUAAGCAUUUGGGAUGGAAGCCUUUGUCGGUAACGUGGGAGACCUGUUUCUGAAUCUCCUGACUUAUUUGAUUUUCCUUUCUAGCAGGGUGGGUAACCUGUGUGCCUCUACAUGUUACUGAACUACAAGUCCCAUGACUCUUGGCUGUUGUGGCAGGGGCUGAUGGGAACUGUAGUUCAGCAACGCAUGGGGAGGCACCGUUACCCAUCCCAGGUUUAACCUAACUGCACCUGGAUUUUCUUUUCCAUGGGGCCAACACUAACUGGGUUUGUGUGAGUUGAUUUUAGAUUUGGGGGGAAUGACGUAGGGGAAAGAAUGAUAAACUCUUCCCACAAAACUGAAACCCCUCUCAUCUCUGUAUUAGACAUCUUAGAUUCAGGCUGCACAUGACCUAGAAUAAAGAUGUAGAAUUCUGGACUGAACCAAUUCAGAGUGCAGGGGUGCAGGUGUGUGAAGUAGUACAGCGGUACCUCUGGUUAUGAACACUUCAGGUUACAAGCUCUGCUAAUCCGGAAGUAGCUGCUCCUGGUUGCAAACAUUGCCCCAGGAUGCGAAUGGAAAUCGUGCACCAGAGGCGCGCGCACAUCGGGAGGCCCCAUUAGUGAAAGCAUGCCUCAAGAUAAGAAUGGUUUCAGCUUAAGAACAGACCUCCAGAACGAAUUAAGUUCAGAGGUACCACUGUAUGUACUUUUGAAAGUUUCCCUGCGAAACAAAACCACAAUAAGCCCUCUGCAUAGAGCAAACCAAUACCUAAGAGCGAGGUUUAAAUUCUUUCUUACCCUGAUGUGCUGGUUUAUUUCAUCUGUGUGCUAUUCUCCCCCAACAAAGGUGCCCGCCUCCCCCCCCCGGGGGGCCAGCUGAAGUGGUACAUUCCAGGAUUUUACUACCUUAUUCUGUCCUUAAAGUGUAGAUUGGCUGUUAUUGCUGUCCUAAGGUGUGUAUACACCAGGUUGUUUUUCAUGCAGGUGGAAUGCGCACGAUUAGCUUUCCUCCUAUAGCCUGUAAGAAAACGGUUCACAUCUGAAGCAGCCAUAAUUCAGGUCUUCCUUUUGAGUCAGAGAUGACUGCCAGCUCCAGUUUCUUUGAAGUAUUCAGGUUGCUAGUGACACGGCAAGCCCUCUGCCCACACCAGGUCCUUUUAGGGACAUCAUUCUGCUAGGAACGCCUGCCAUUCAAUUGCGCUCCAUUGAAAUGCAUGGGGCGGAAGUCCUUUUACGAAACGCCUGUUUCAGUGAGCACUUCCCUGUUGGAUUCUGCCCAGCGUGGUUUGCCUGGUGCCAUAGAACUUGGCAAACGGAAAUGGCCUUCACUGAAAAGACAAUCAAUAUACCCAGUGGCUGUUAUUGCUAUUUUUUCUGGCACAACGCUUCCCCCGCCAAAGAAAAAUAAAUGUACUCUUGUCGCAUUGAGAGAAUUAAGAAUUAUCUGGUCAGGGAGGAUGCCCAAGGAACAGAAUUAAUUGCCAACCGAUGGAUUGGCACAGCGAUGAAUGAAAUAGUGUUCAUAUGGGUCUGAGGUGCUCUUAGUAGUGGCAUGGUGAAUGGAAUAUGCUGGUGAAAGGAUGGAGUCCAUCAGCCAUUCCGUAAGCCGAUCUUGUGGUAUUCCGCUCUGCCUUCCCACGGUGGCCAGCAGCUUUUUAAAAGAGAAAUUUGCAAAGUCAAGGAGCAAAUACGCUUGCAGGGCCCACCCUGAACCUGGGAGUAUGUGAUGAGUUGGCAAAAGUGCCAUCGAAGGAGAAUUGGGCGUUGGUCAAAAGGGCGGGACAUGUGGCAAGCGGGCAUUAAAGAGGACCUUGGGGCGUGUCGCACUUUGUGGAUGACCCCUCGCUUGAAGAGUCAGGCAUUGAGCGCUUCUGAUGGGGCACUUAAGAGAACUCAGGAAACACAUCUAACUAGGCGUGCACACCGAGUCCUAUGCAACAGUGACUGUCCUGGAGAGACAGAGAGAGGUGUCCUUCCAUUAAAAGAUGCCUCUGGAAGAUCAGCAGGGAACCAGGGAUGUCCGUGUUGCCAUGGUGGGAUGCUGCAAUUCUCCUCUGCAUCUCUUGUUAGAUGCAUCUACAGUGGUACCUUGGUUCUCAAACUUAAUCCCGUCUGGAAGUCCAUUCCAAAACCAAAGCGUUCCAAAACCAAGGCGCGCUUGCCCAUAGAAAGUAAUGCAAAAUGGAUUAAUCUGUUCCAGACUUUCAAAAACAACCCCUAAAACAGCAGUUUAACAUGAAUUUUACUAUCUAACAAGACCACUGAUCCAUAAAAUGAAAGCAAUAAUCAAUGUACUGUACUGGUUGGGGGGGGGGGGACCAUAUCCAAGAGUGGUUAAAUUAUGACACUGAUUUUACACCUCCUUAAUCCUGAUGACAUUUCUGUGCAUUGUAAAACAUAUUUAAUUCAUUUGGGCAUUAUUUUUUACUGAAUGUGAGAAGUCCCUGGUUAUAUUUUUCCUUAGGGCACAGUGUUUGUUCUAACUCCUAGUCCAGUGAUCAAUUGCUAGAUGUGUCUGACGUUAGCCUGUUACGACGGGGGCUGUUCUUUUGACGGCAGCCAUGACUAAUUGUACGUGACUUUCCGAUUUUGUAAGUAACUCUCUUUUCAUCCCUGAAUUUCGCCGGACCUUUCAAUGCGAAUCCUUUCCCUUUGCCCCGUGAAUCUGUUGAGUGCCGGCCAAGUUAUUCUAAUUUAAAGAAACAACAUCUACUCACACCUAUUGUUACUAAAACGUGGGCCGUGAGCCUCAGGCAGGGUUGCUCUCGAGUAGACCCUUUAGCGCACGCUGCCCUAAACACGCUUCCUAGGGAGUGAUAUCUGCAGGGCUUAAGUACGACUUACUCCUGAGCAUACCUGUUUAGGCUCGCCCUGUUAACAACGUAUCGGAAGAUACUGCAAACAGUAAUACCCAGACAAGUGAAUGUCUUGCUCUGCGCAGCAAGACAAAAGCAAGCUUGGACCAUCUAUGUCAGUGGCAAUGCGCAUGGAAGUCGUCGGACUGCUUUCAUGGACUUUCCAAGGCAGUAAAAGCAAAUGUCGUUGUGUUCUCUUGCGUGCAAAAUAUAAUUUGACGAUUAAGUUAUGUUCAUUAAAGUCUAUGAGAUGUC